GAUGAAGAACGUAGCGAAAUGCGAUACGUAAUGUGAAUUGCAGAAUUCAGUGAAUCAUCGAGUCUUUGAACGCACAUUGCGCCCUCUGGUAUUCCGGAGGGCAUGCCUGUCCGAGCGUCAUUGCUGCCCUCAAGCACGGCUUGUGUGUUGGGCUCCGUCCUCCUUCCGGGGGACGGGCCCGAAAGGCAGCGGCGGCACCGCGUCCGGUCCUCAAGCAUAUGGGGCUUUGUCACCCGCUUUGUAGGACUGGCCGGCGCCUGCCGAUCAACCAAACUUUUUUCCAGGUUGACCUCGGAUCAGGUAGGGAUACCCGCUGAACUUAAGCAUAUCAAUAAGCGGAGGA
This 343-nucleotide unclassified non-coding RNA is filed under the name soil metagenome. RNAcentral's name for it is "partial contains 5.8S ribosomal RNA, internal transcribed spacer 2, and large subunit ribosomal RNA". The stretch from base 1 to 120 matches the Rfam family "5.8S ribosomal RNA", at positions 35 to 154 of the family's 154-position model. The record is from RNAcentral.